UCCUACGGGGGGCAGCAGUGGGGAAUUUUGCGCAAUGGGGGAAACCCUGACGCAGCAACGCCGCGUGAGUGAUGAAGGCCUUCGGGUCGUAAAGCUCUGUCAGUAGGGAAGAAAAGAAUGUGGUUAAUACCCACAUUCCCUGACGGUACCUACAAAGGAAGCACCGGCUAACUCCGUGCCAGCAGCCGCGGUAAUACGGAGGGUGCAAGCGUUGUUCGGAUUUAUUGGGCGUAAAGCGCGUGUAGGCGGUUUCUUAAGUCUGAUGUGAAAGCCCCGGGCUCAACCCGGGAAGUGCAUUGGAUACUGGGAGACUUGAAUACGGGAGAGGGUAGUGGAAUUCCUAGUGUAGGAGUGAAAUCCGUAGAUAUUAGGAGGAACACCGGUGGCGAAGGCGGCUACCUGGACCGAUAUUGACGCUGAGACGCGAAAGCGUGGGGAGCAAACAGGAUUAGAUACCCGGGUAGUCCG
RNAcentral lists this ribosomal RNA (468 nucleotides) under uncultured bacterium. Its description in RNAcentral is "bacterial SSU rRNA". It matches the Rfam family "Bacterial small subunit ribosomal RNA", at positions 337 to 797 of the family's 1533-position model. The record is from RNAcentral.